CCUGGGAAGUACGUACGCAAGUAUGAAACUUAAAGGAAUUGGCGGGGGAGCACCACAAGGGGUGAAGCCUGCGGUUCAAUUGGAGUCAACGCCAGAAAUCUUACCCGGAGAGACAGCAGAAUGAAGGUCAAGCUGAAGACUUUACCAGACAAGCUGAGAGGUGGUGCAUGGCCGUCGCCAGCUCGUGCCGUGAGAUGUCCUGUUAAGUCAGGUAACGAGCGAGAUCCCUGCCUCUAGUUGCCACCAUUACUCUCAGGAGUAGUGGGGCGAAUUAGCGGGACCGCCGCAGUUAAUGCGGAGGAAGGAGGGGGCCACGGCAGGUCAGUAUGCCCCGAAGCUCUGGGGCCACACGCGGGCUGCAAUGGUAGUGACAAUUGGUUCCGAAUCCGAAAGGAGGAGGUAAUCCUCAAACGCUACCACAGUUAUGACUGAGGGCUGCAACUCGCCCUCACGAAUAUGGAAUCCCUAGUAACUGCGUGUCAUUAUCGCGCGGUGAAUACGUCCCUGCUCCUUGCACACACCGCCCGUCGUUUCAUUGAAGUUUGCUUUUAGCGAGGUGACGUCUGAUUGGCGUUAUCGAACUUGAGGUAAGUGACAAGGGAAAAGUCGUAACAAGGUGACCGUAGGGGAACCUGCGGCUGGAUCACCUC
This 650-nucleotide ribosomal RNA is filed under the name uncultured bacterium. Its description in RNAcentral is "bacterial SSU rRNA". It matches the Rfam family "Archaeal small subunit ribosomal RNA", at positions 827 to 1476 of the family's 1478-position model. The record is from RNAcentral.